This 229-nucleotide ribosomal RNA is filed under the name uncultured bacterium. RNAcentral's name for it is "partial 16S ribosomal RNA". It matches the Rfam family "Bacterial small subunit ribosomal RNA", at positions 568 to 796 of the family's 1533-position model. The record is from RNAcentral.
CAUGUAGGCGGCUCGUCAAGUCUGAUGUGAAAGCCCUGGGCUCAACCCAGGAAGUGCAUUGGAAACUGGCGAACUUGAGUACGGGAGAGGAAAGUGGAAUUUCGAGUGUAGGGGUGAAAUCCGUAGAUAUUCGAAGGAACACCAGUGGCGAAGGCGGCUUUCUGGACCGAUACUGAUGCUGAGAUGCGAAAGCGUGGGGAGCAAACAGGAUUAGAUACCCUGGUAGUCC